UAACCAUACGACUACGGACGCUGGAAGAUCGCAUCAUCGGCUGUCGCAUUUCAGGCAAUGAAAUUAUUUGCGGCUUCGGUGUUCUUCGCCCUGUAUUCCACGUUGUGCUAUUGCGAUUAUGAUCUCUCGGAGAGCUCCAAUGACAAUGGCAGGAAGCUUCGAGAUGCCAAGAAGGCAAGUAUUAUUUUCUGAAUCUUGCGUCCACUCCAGUACCCUGCAGUUUGUAGCCUACAAAUAAAAAAAAAAAACUCAUGAAACUGCAGUGUGCGUGUUGGGAACUCCUUCAGCUACAGCUGCUAUAAUUAUCCACCACUGUAUAACAUAGUAUGCUUUACGUCACUACAUAGCUAAAUGUUUAACGUAAAAGUAAGCUUUGGACGUCCACAUCUGUUUUAUGGGAACAUUUGAGCAGUUCACAUGUUCAUAGGGCAUACGGCUAAAUUAUUGGUAACACACGAUCAGAUUUUUAGCGGUAGUUGUGAAAGGGGCUCGUAUCAAUCAACAAUGUCCUCAGAAACGCUUACGUGC
This is a long non-coding RNA of Dermacentor andersoni, 528 nucleotides long. RefSeq lists it as uncharacterized. The record is from RefSeq and is a predicted model, not a curated record. NCBI's taxonomy places the organism in Eukaryota, Metazoa, Arthropoda, Arachnida, Ixodida, Ixodidae.